GAGACGAUGACGAUGAUGAAGCGCUUUCGGGUCUUGCGCCGGAAGGCUUGCUCUUCGAGCUCGUCGACUUUGCCGUAGCCUUUAAAGGAGGUCAUGGAGUCCAUAUUUUCUAGUGAACGACUGCUUUUGGUUUUGUUGGUUUUUUGCUUCUGGGUUUAGUUUUGGGUUGUGUCACUUGUGUGAGGGUUUAGUUUAGAGAAAGCUAAGAUUUUUGGGUUGCUUUUUAUAAAAGGGGUGGAAGUGAUGAGGAGGAGGAGGCCCCAGGAAGCCAUCACUUUCUUUCUAGGAUGAUGCUUCUGGAUUAAGAAUGUUAAUGUUAAUGUUAAUGUUAAUUUUAAGUUGAUUGAUUACAGUUUGUAGUUUAUGAUCGUGAUCCCUAUGACAAUAUGGGAAGAAAAUUGUGCUGCAAUGGUGAAAUGACUUUGUUACUGAGCAUAAUUAAUCCCAGCACGUUUUGAGUGGAUGUUUGUUUAUCUGAUGCUAAACAAGGCUGCAAUUGGACAGGUGGGAAUGUCAUUUGCUUCCUAAUAACAUGGCCUCACAUUGAAGAGUUAAACCUGUUUUACUUCCUUCGGGUGUCCGAAUAGUUGAAAGAAACUCUUGUUUGUGGGACAUUAGAUUUUUCUAAUCAUCACAUAUUAGACAUUAGACACAUGUAGUCGAUGAAUUCAAGUUUUAACUCAUAUAAAAUUUUAUAGGAAAAAUGCCUAAAUGGUCAGAAACAAGAAUUCAAAAACUUAUUUCAAUAAAAAUAAUAGUCAAACGUCCGUUUUAAUGAAUUAUAAGCAAAAGACAAAAUUAACCUUUGCAUAUUAUCUAGAAAUAAAACGUAGCCAUGUCUCUGGAUCAGAACCUCUNNNNNNNNNNNNNNNNNNNNCUCUCUCUCUCUCUCUCUCUCUCUCUCUCUCUCUCUCUCUCUCUCUCUCUCUCUCUCUCUCCCCCUUCCUUCACCAUCCUCGCCUCCGCCGUGCUGCUGCACCAUCUCUCCUCCGCCUGCGACGCCGGAAACACUAUCCAAAUCCAAAACGUCGGCGUUUGAUUCCUUCCUGGAGACCGAGCCCUCGUCGUCGCUCUGGCGCUCUUCACCCUUCGCUUGGCACUCGGUACUCUGUUCUCGUCAAUCAGUGCUCGGUGGUCGGCUGUUGGCCUUUGGCGCUCGCCGCUCGGCCUAACUGAAGCAGAUCUGGUCCUGAGCCUCCUCCUAAGCGCCGGCGACGAAUGUAGCAAUGAUUUUUUCAAGUCACAAGGUGAAAAGGUGAGUGGACUUGAGGAAGGUGUGAGGAUUCUAAGUUGCAGCGUCGCUAGCCUUCGGCAAAUUGGGGUCCCGAACAACGUCGUUGAGGACGGUGAGCUUUGCUGGGCGACGGAGGAAGGCUGGUUGUUGCUUAGUCUCUAAGAGGUAUGACGGUCAGAGGAAGACUGGUUCUGAGUUGUAUCGUAAGGUUGGACGCCGGAGUCGACGCCAACGCCGAUCGGGAAGUGUUUAGGCGCUAGCUUUGGGUGCCCAGAGCAAUUUUUUGGUUUGGGCUUGGGUCCUUGACAACGGGCUGGAGGUUUGGAUGCCCUUAUGGCCUCACAGUAAUGUUUCAACAUUUUAUUAGGGUUAGUAACUAUUAUUGGGGUCAAUAACUGGAUUAUGUUCCGGUAUUUCUUCUUAUUCUAUUACUAUAAGCUGAAAUAAGUUGAUUAUUGGGGGUAAGUAACUGAUUAUUAGAGGUUAGUAACACGAUUAUUAGGGGUCAGUAACUGAUUACUGGGGGUCAGUAACUGAUUACUGGGGGUCAGUAACUGGUUACUGGGUGUUAGUAACUAAUCAGUAACUGGUUACUGGGGGUCAAUAAUUGGUUACUGGGGGUCAGUAACUGGUUACUGGGUGUCAGUAACUGAUCAAUAACUGGUUACUAGGUGUCAGUAACUGGUUACAGGAGAAAUUUUGGUGACCGGAGUCCCGCGGCCGGUGACCGGAGUCCGACGGCAGGUGACCGGAGUCCGACGGCCGGUUACUAGAGUCCGGUGAGAUUCUGGCCAAGUAUUCUCUCUUUCAUUUUCUCUCUAUGCAUGUUUAAGGGGUGAGGGUAAAAUAGUCUUAAAAUAAUAUGAUUUGUUAAGACUUUAGUAAAGAUUUGUGCAUUUGGGCAUAAAUAUUUGUGUAUUUGGGCAUAAAAAAACUUACUUUAUAUUGAAAUGGGCUAAUGAAAAAGAUUAUCAUUGGAAUGAGAAAUAAAGGAUUUAAAUUAAUACUAAAUGAGUAUUUUCCCUUCUAUAAUAUUUGUUUAUUCAGUAAAGAAUGUUGAAAGUAACGAGAUAUCAUGCCUAAUUGGGUUUUCAACUAUUAGAUCCCUCUUGCUAUUGAUCUUCUCAUCACAUUUGGACAUUUGAAUCGGUUCCGAUUCAUAGAAGACUUUCCCUGAACAUAGAUCAGAACUUGUUGUCCAUGCUGUCACAUGUUAGUUAAAUUUAUGUAGCAUAUACACCUUGAUUGGUUUUCCACACUAAGUAGAUUUUAAGCCUAUAAUCACGGUUCAUCUCACAGAGAUCAUUAUCCAAGUUUUGAAGAUUGUAUUUUUUUUUUUUUUUUUUUUUGAAAGUUUGAAGAUUGAUUAUUUGCUUCAGGGGUGAUGGAUCCAGCUGUAUAAUACCACAAUUGUUUAUAAAGAUUCAACUUUGGAAUCCAUUUAUCCAAUUUUGGUUGCAGGAAGCUGUGUCCUGAUUUGCAGAGAGGAAGGAGAGAGUGAGGUACUGGGACACGGCUAAGUAAACCACAUCAGAAAGAAUCAUGAAACAAACAGAAAACCGAAAAGGGUCGACAUCAACUCCCACACAUAUAUGUCAACUCCCCACCACAUGAGACGAUCUGCAGACCAAUCUUAGAAGACCAAGUUGUUCUGCUCAUGUCCAAGCAUCCAAUCAAGCCAAGUAGCAAAACGAGUGGAACCCUCAUUUUCAAUUGUAUUUUCAUUGUGUCAUCGGAAAAGAAAUUGUAUUUUCUUCCAUUCCCACAUAGGACAAUCAUGCAUAUAUAGAUAGAAAAGGGGUUAAAAAUGGGGGGUUUCGCAGAACAGGUAGUAUCUAUAUGUGUAGGACUAUUUCAACGAGCUAGGUGAUGAUUGCUCUGUGCUGUGUUCUUCAGUUUCAAUAUUGGUAUUGGGAAGCCGGUGUGCCACUAAUCUAUUCUAUUAAUCUAUGGUGAUCAUUUUCCAGCUAGUUCAUGAACAUGUCAAAAGAUUGGACUAAGCAUCCUAUAUGUGCUCGACAUUUUUAUGCAACAAUGUGGAUACGUAUCCUCCCUUAGGUUGCCAAAUGGACCUGUAACAAUAUACAGAAUAAGCUUAACUAUCUACUUAUUUUCUUUGCAAGCAUAUAUUGUAGUUUAUAUUUGUAAGGUUUAAGGUUGAGCAGUCUUAGGUUUUAGACGUACGUAUGUAUCGAUCUGGGGUUGAGUAAUAGUUGUAUAUAUACAGGCAUAUAGCUUUCUUUUCCUUCCUAUCAUUUCUACAGAUCGCCUUUCUUCUUCUUCUUCUUCUUCUUCUUCUUCUUCUUCUUCUCGGUGAGCAUAUGUACGGCCUUUUACAAUAAGGAUCGUUUAUCUUCAAGAUCACUCUUUAAUGAUCCUUUCUACUACAAUCAAGAUCAACAAAACUGCAAUGCAUAUCGUUUGACUGAUCUAUAGUGCGAAAUAAAGAAAUAUGUAUGUUAAUAGUUAAGCAUAACUAGUUAUCCAAUAACGUUCAUAUGGAUUAUAUAGAACUUUUUGUUUUAAGAAAAUUGGGUGUCAAUCAAGUAAAAGUAUAAAUUAUUAUAAACUAUAUAGCUCACUUAAGGAGGGUUACAAUAAAAUUGAUUAAUUUCCGGUGACAUAUUGGUCUAAGACUACCUUGCAAGCUAAACAAUGCCACUUAAAAGUUGUAACAAUUCAUUGGAAGAAAAAUAAAGCUAACGAUAAUAAUGGUUGGCCUCUCCAUUUUUCUUUUUCACCCUAUCGCGCCCCAUCUUUUGAUGUUCGAACACAUGACCUCUUAGUAAGAAGAUAAGGUCUUAUUACCCCGCCAAACAAACUUCACUCCAUUUACCAUUUGCAGUUUGUCUUGGUAACAUAUAUAAACAAAAGGAGAGCUUCUAAUGAUGACCUUAUAAUGAGGACUAAUUGAGGAUUUUCAAAUGAAUGGUUGGAUGAAUGUUUUAACUUUUAAUUGAUAUUUUCAAAUUCCUAUGUGCAUGUAAUCCAACCGUUCAUUCGAAAGUCCUCACUUGGUCCUCAUUAGAAGCCCCCCUAUAAACAAAACUAAAAUGACACAAGUUAUUCAUAUAAACAAUCAAACAUGGCUUAAAUUCACAAACACAUAGGAGUACACAUCAAAUAAUUUGAUUUUUUGAGCAAAGAGCGGCAUCUUACUAAUAUACGGCAAUACCGUGUGCCGAUGUGAAUGAAGCUCAUUAUACGAAGCCGGCAAUUGCGCCAACAAGGGACCCAAAAUAUAUACUUCUUCUUCCUCGCAUUCCAUUUCUCCUAUAUUUUCAAUCUUUUCUUUGCAAGAAAUGAAAAGAAACCUAAUUUGAUGCAACUUCGAUCAUAAUUUCAUUUUCUAAUGUACGAGAAAAAGGAUAAAACAUAACGACCAAAACAGCAAAAUACAAGAACACAGCUGAAAGGUAAGACACAAAGAAAGGUCGACUUAGUUUGCAAAUAGGAAGCAGCAGCAUACAUUUUCUAUAUAUGAUAAUGCACUAUAACGUAGUAAACAUACUGAUCGACCAAAGAAGCCCACAGCAUCUCACUCCCUCUAUUAUAAUCCUAAGUACCAGCUGUUCUUUAUAUUUGAUUAUAAGCGUUGAACGCUUUUUGGUGAAUCUUAUUUCCGGUAACCAGGACGUUGAAUGACGUUGAGAUUCAAAAGAGGUCGAGAUUCUAUUUUGAUUUAAAAAAAAAAAAAAAAAAAGGUAGACCUAAUUUACCCCAAAUUUUCAACGUUUUCUUUUCUGAUUUGUAGUUUUUGAUGUUUUAUUAUACGAUUGUAACAAGUAUUACAAAAAACUUUGGAGUUUGAUGUCAGUAAAAACAUGACAACAAAGCAAUGAUAUGUAUGCCAUACGAAUAAAUAGAAAAAAAAAAAUGUUCUUUAUAAUUCACACAAUAUAAGCCGUUCUUGAAAUAGGGUAUCUAGGUACAAGCACCAUGGGACUCAAGUCCCACUCAAAUAUUUUGGGGAAAAAAAUUACUACUUAUAGUUAUCAUUAAUUUUAUGGUGUGAUUGUAAGAUUGUUGAGCUUAAGCCCCACUCAAAUUCCUUCAUCUUGUACAAUUACUAAUCAAAUAUUUUUUAGGAUAGUCUCACUCAAGUCCUAGCUAGCAUUGACGUGAUCCAAGUGCCUAACGUAUACUUAAUUUCAUUUUUGUUAAAAAAAGAGAUAAGUUUAUCUAUUUUCUCAAAAAAGAUAUACGUCUAUGUUGUCUGUUGUCUUCUUUUCUUCCUUGUCAUACCCUUGUCACGCAGCAUCGGUGAGGACGCGAGGUUGUCGGUCUUAUUGAAAUGCUUAUUUAAUUUUUUUUGUUGUACGUCUAAAGUGUUUUAUGAAUUAAACAAACAUUGAAGUGAUAAAGGCCCAUUACGUCCUUUAUGACUAGGCUUAUCUUUAUUUUUAAUCUAUAAAUUUCUCUAGCACCGUCAAAAAAACAUUUCUUACCAAAAAUUCAAAUCCCACCCGAUUACGAUUCCUGGAUCCGCCCCUGGGAUGAGAGUAAAAAUUCAAGAGUUCAAAUGCGGUUAUGUCAGUUUGUUAUCAUUGUGCUCAUCAGUCAUCAUGAUAAAUAGAUGCUUGACACGCCAUACAUAUGCUGCGCGCUAUCAUUGUGUUCAUCAUGAUAAAUAGAUGCUUGAGACACCAGAUGCCGAAUAAUGCUAAUUAAGGAGUUUUGGUUUUCUAAUGAGAAUGCUAAUUAAGGAGUUGUAAUGGCCUGUUGGUAGAGAAAUUGACAUCGGGCCAUUGCCAUCUGGUGAUUCCAGUGCUCCAAGAGUGGAUGGAUGGCAAUGAGACCUUCCACCAAAACAAAGCCUUGAUCAAAUGCACAACACGAAUUUGCCAACUUUGUUCUUUACAACUGAAAGGAAAAACCCUCCAGACUACUUUGAUUCCAAGUUAGCUGUAGACAUAUAAAAUUUAACGAUAAUAAUAAUUGUUGAAUUAUUCAAACGAUGCGUGAGCCCAACAAAUUACAUACGUGGCUCGUGAGUUGGCAAAAUUGAAAAGUCGUUGGAAAUGACAAGUGGCGACAGGCGACGUGUAAAUGGUCGGCCGACAACAAAACCUUACAUCUCGACUAAAAUCAAUUAUUAAAUGUCGAUCGAUAAUCAGAUAUCAAUUAAAUUAAAUUGAUUAUCGAAAACGGAAGUCGGACAUUUAAGCCAAAUCGGUUAUACCUUAUCGGUCAUAAUUAAAUCAAUCACUUAAGACUGAUUGAUUUAAUUAUGUUAAAAUUAAUAAUUAAAUCAACCAAUCAAAACUGAUUGAUUUAGUUAUUACCGUUAAGGAAAUACAAUUAAUUCGGUGUCUUCAUUACAUGCCAUAAACGGAGGUAUGUUGACACUAUAAAUAUCCCCUCUCAUAUCAAGGGGAUGACUUCCGACAAGAGAGAAAAAUUACUCCUGAGAGCUCAGAAGUCUCCCAAAACCCUUGAAGAAUCAUCAAGCUGUCAAAUAACUGAUUCUUCAUCAACCUCAAGCCGAGAAGUUGUCAAUUACCGAAGAGUCACUAAGUUGCCAAAUAGCCGACAUCUUGACCAACUACAAGAGGAAGAGCAACCACCACAUGGAAAAGUUCAUGGCCCAAACCCGAUCAACGUCAAGCCUCUACGGCCCUUGAUCAACCCUCGUCUUCAAGCCUUUCAACAAAUCAAAACUUCUACCAAGUUCUUCAACAAGCUUGUGGAGAAUCAACAAGCACCAAACACAGGUGACGAUUCAUCUGCUAUCAAGCUAAAGAACAUUCACCACGUGACACCUCUCGUGGCCCAAAUUCGACCAAGAUCAAGCCUAGCCUCUACGGCCCUUGGUCUACUUCCUUCUACAAAUCGUCAACACGAUAAGAAGUUCAAACUACAACAGUUCAAUUUAAAAUCAAGUGCUCGCCACCCUUGGAUUAAAUCAGCGUCGGAGAUCGAAUAAGAGGGCAUUCUUAAUAAAAGAAUACCCACAGAGAUUGUAACCCGCAAAUUCAAUCAAUACAAAUAUAUUAUUUUGCACACAUGUCUUUCUGUUAUUCGUUACAGGAAUUUUCGUGUUUACACUAGCUACAUAGAAUUUAAAGAUGCUUCACCCCACAAAAAUCCAAUAGGAAAAUAGACGCCUACAACAGCAGUAAAGCUAAGCAAAGCUUAGGAUCCAUUAAAGAGACUGUAAGAUGGAAUUAACGUACUGUAACAGAAGUGCAGCCCAUAAUGAAGCAGAUGUUUUGUCACUGCAUAUAGCCCACUAGUUUAUUUGGACUCCAAGUUCAUAGUUUCAUUCCUUUCUUUCCCUCUUGAGUCUCAUGCAUCCGUUUCAUCACUUCAUGUCAUCAAGAACAUGAACUGUGCCUUUAAUGGUAGAUGUUUUUGUGUCUUUGCCUCUUUGGGAAUGUAUCUAAACGAUGUGACAAAUUGGAUCUCUUAUUCCUUUUUACGGAAGAGAAUCGGAUACAGCCAACUAUCAAAAGGGGCAGUUCAAAGUUGAGCACAAUUUCUUUGGAUAGAAAAUGGAUUAGGUGAAUACUACAUGAAAAUAAGAUGCUCUUAUUCAUUAACCAACAGAUAGCAGUAUCUUGAUCGACACUGCGAUCACGGCCGAAACAACACACUCACUCGAUAACACAGCUACAAUUACAAGUUACAAGAAUUAUUACUCAUCUAGCUACAUUCUACAGACCAAGAGUAAAUGGAAAACCAGUAGCACUCAACCAACUUCCACCAGCAAUAAAAUUCCCUGGUGUGAAAGCCUGAGCUUCUGUGGCGCUUGUGAUCACCUUGUACCCCUUCCACGUCACCCUGUUUGAAGUCGAAGCUCCAGCUCCAGUGUUAGCAUACUCAGCAUAGAACAAUGUGUCUAGGGCAAAAGUCCCACUCCACUCGUACCACCCAGCAGGGUCGAUGAUAUCAGUAAUGGAAGAUUGCAUAAUCACAGUCCUAGAGUACUCCUUCCACGGCCUUCCCAGGUAUGUCUUAAAGCUACCCUUCACGGCUUGAAGGUCAGAAGUGGCACCAAUCCUUGAUUUUUGGAUCACAAUGCCGGUGUUCUGGUUGGGGUCGGUUCUCCCUUGGGCUGUGAGCAUGUUCUUCUGGCCAGAGUUGGGCUUUCGGGCAUGGAUAUCACAAUUUUGUAACACAACUGCAGCAUUGCCAAAGAUGAAAUCGACUGUGCCCGCAAUGAAGCAGCCCUCGAAGAACUGACGGUUGGAGUGGACGUAGAGGGAGUCUUGGUACGCAAGAAUGUCACAGCGGUAGAAGGCCGAAAGAUCGGAACCGACACGGAGAGCAACUGCUUGGUGCUUUGAGGGACCUGCAGUGUUCUGGAAGGUGAUGUCUCGGGCUAAGAAUCCCGCACCAACCGCCGCUGCAACCACACAGAUUUAUACGUUAGGGCAUGACAAGUAUAUUUACAUAGUAUAAAGAAGUUCUUAUACGAAUAUAGGUACAUAUACCAGAUAUAAUACACUAUUUCAAAGUAGAUAAAGAUAUUAUGUGUCCCGUUUAAUUUGGGAGCUAGCUAGCUACUCUGCUAGUGUAUUGUGUUUAUUGUUUAGUUAAUAAGGUGAGCCAUAGUAGUUUGGUAUGCUUGGUUUUGUGUGCGUGAAGACUGUGAACUGAAAUGGGUGAGACAUGAGUGCAAAUGCGAUUUUCAAAUGAGAAGAAGAUGGCAAAUAAUUAUUCUGGUUAAAUGGGGACAACAAUCAUCAAUAUAAUCCAUUAUGACUCAGCUAGAAAGAAGCUGGCUAGGACCAAACUCCAUGAAAGAAUCUAACCAACAGGGAACAAAAGAAGUAAAGUCUAUAGAAUAAAGACAGAGGAUAGGAAAGAUAUAAUAAAAUCCAUACACAUGCACAUUAUUCAGAUCGGAUGUCAUCGAAAAACUAUGCACCUUUUAAAAAAAAAAACUAUGCACAUUAUUCAGAUAAUAUGAUUCUCGACCUCUCAAUACGUAUCUAUCACUUCAAAAAUUGUCUCUGUCAUUAUACAGAACAUACAGAACCAGAUGCACAAGGAAGCUGAGUUGAAAGGUUUACUUAGAAGUAAUACAAGACGGUGACACAUGGUGUAACAUGCCUUAAUGCUGGCUGCUAUUGCAAACCAAAAAGAGACAGAUUCUGAUCUCUAAGUCCAACAUAAUUUCGAAAAAAAAGAACUGGAGUGUCGGUGGUUACUAAGAUCUCAAUUAGGGUUUCAAACGUCCCAUGAUUCAAGCAACAACAAACGGGGAAGAAAGUUGUAAAAGCCAAUGAAAAGGAAAGUGGAAGAUGAUCGACGAAGCAUCCUACUGGGAUAUAUGAGCAGACUAAUACGAAUACAAAAAAAACAAAAGAACAGUAGAAAGACAACUUAUACCGUAAAGUCUUUAGGACCAAAAAACAAAGAGUUGAGUUGGUGGGUAUAAACAAAAGACAUUGCAAGCACAAAAAUUCAAAGAAAAAGGGCCAAAGGGAACGUCGAGCUGUAAACCACACAAGUACUCAUGCAGCUUAUAGAUUUAGACGCGAGGAGACAACUUCACAUUUCUAUAAUGACAUAUAUCUGAAUUUUGGAUGCCAAUUAAGAUAACGAAGAAGCACGAGAUAUCAUAACAAUGACAUUUACCCAGAAAAUUGAUAUGAAUCUGAAACUAAACAAGAGCUCCACACUAAUUCAAGUGUUCAGACACUGGAAUUAGGAGAACGCUGAAAAGCAAGAGAGAAUCAUGAAUACAAUCUAGCUAAUUGUAUGUAUGAUGAUGGUGAUUGUUCACCAAUAAACUAGCAAUCUUCAAGAUACGAAUAUCAGAAAGACAGACAAGUUUCUUUAAAAAAACGAUAGGCUUUUGUAAAAGCGCCAAUGCCAUGUGCUGGUUUUUGGUUUAUUGAAAUCAAAGCCAUGGACGACGAAAGUUUCAACACUUGGGAGAUGUUUAUAAAUUUCUGGCAGCCUGGGAUUGAUAUUUUGGAGGUCCUGCUUUGUCUAGUCAACUUAGGUGGACCAAUGUAGUUCUUAUAUAUUCUAGAUGAUGUCUAAAAAAUCGAAGUUUUCAAUGGUCCUAAAACACAGAGGAGAGGGUGAAUGGGACGACACGACAAAAACAGAGUCUCGCAGACGUUACCUUAUUUUCAUUUUUCAAGGAACAUGUUGAUUUCACACUAAAACUUAGAAGAAAAGUUAAAAACCUAAAUUAAAAUUCACUAUAAUAGAAGAAAUUUUAAUGCGGUGAACGUAUAAUGCAUAUAACGGAUGCUAACUUGGAAUAUAAACAAAAGGUAUGAUAUAUGUUUUUCAAUUUUGAGCGAAAAAUUGUUUAACUACACGAAUGACUGAAACCCUAAUCAAAGUUUUCUUUUUUCUUUUUAAAAUGGGAACCCUAAUCAAAGUUAUAAAGACGCAAUUUCAACAGAGAGCCAGUUUUUUUUUUUUUUUUGUCGAAGAAAAGAAAAAAGAAACAGUGUGCCAGGUUUUUAGUGAGAGACUGAGAGGCAAAGGUUUUUAGUGAGAGGCAAAAGGUGCACUAUUAUUUGUGCGUGGGAGUCACACAUGACAUAGCAAUGCCAUCAUAUAUGGAGGCGGGAGGCCUAUCCAAUACUGUCACCCCCAAGUUGGCUCACACUGCCCUCAGUAAAGGCAUGGAGAUAUCACGCUACCCUAAGUAAAGGCAUGGAGAUUUCAAUACAUGGAACCCACACGACAUGAACCUAGAAAGACAUCCAUCCGAUGAUUAUCCAAAUAUAUCUUUUUUAUCGGAUGAUUAUCCAAAUAUAGAUAUCGUCAAGAGGUUAAAAACAUAAACAAAACACAAGUGGUAAAUGAAAAUUAGCUAAAGAUAAUGUAAUGUUAUUGGAGUACUUACCCACUGUGGCGGAAUUGAAGGUUGUGUCACCAUCGACCACAUUUCUACUUCCGGUAAUAAUUGUGGUAGUCCUCCCAUCGCCCAAAAACAUUAUGUUCGUCUUGGCCUUUGGCACAUCCACAUUUUCUCUAUACACACCGGCCUUGAUUCUGAUCACGUAUCUGCUGGUACUCUUUGACGGUGCGGCCGCGACCGCCUCCGAUACUGUCUUGUAAUUUCCGCUUCCGUCGGCAGCCACGAUCACAUUCGGUGUGACAGUAGAGGAUUGCAAGAGAUGUCUAUCUGCGGCGGAGAGCCACUCCGGCCAUCCCUCUGAACGUUCCUCCUUUAGCUUCCGGUUAGUCGUGGAGGACAUUGCUUUCAUCUCGUUUGCAAUGUCGUUAUCAGUCAUGUUUUUAAUCAUGGCCAGCGCAUUGCUGCACAACUUUUCUACAUAUUUCUGUACAGAAAAAAAUACAGUAAUGUCAAUUAAAUUACGUCGGUGCAAAUUAUAGAAACAAGUAUAUCACUAUGUAGAAAUUAAAGUAGGAACAAACAAAAUAGUGUAUGACGUAUAUGUUUUCCCAUUUGCUUGUUAGUCUCACUUGCUCUAGAUAAAACUAAUGUUCAUGGGGGAAAGUGAAAACUAGCUUGACUAAAUAUAUAUGUAACCGUAGCGAUCGAGAUUUCGGACAGAAACGUUACCUGACCCUUCUCCAACGAUUUCCGAACUAUUUUAUCAGCCUCGGCGUGAGAAAAUCCGUCAAGACAAGUCUCCUGGUUGGUAAUGGCGGAGCUUAUCAACGUCUUGAGAUCGUCGGCAUGAGCAGUCAGAGUCUUGUUGAUGCUCGGGUACUGAAACAGAUCCUUCACCGCCUCAUGGAGCUCAUCGAGAGUCUCAUCAAUUGUCUCCAGGCAGUCGUGCAAGGCGCACCUCUCGCGCUUGGUGAGGCUCUUCACGAGCUUCUUGAUCAGCUUCUUGAUGGUGAAGAAGUUGUGCUCCACCGCCGUGAUGGUGAUGUUAAGGGAAAGCCCGAUCACGUCUUUGAAGCUGGUGACGUUGGUGGUGGCGGCAGNGGUGGCGAGGGUGGAGAAGCAGAGCUCGGGGUANGGGUGGAGCUGCAUGAUUUUCACGAUAGCGUGAGCGGCGGAGAGGGUCUCAUUGUCGGAGUUGGAGUUUUUGUUUUGAACUCCGGUGGCAAUGCCGAUAACGGCAGCGACUAGAAGAACCGUGGCUAUAAAGGCCAAGAAGAGCUUCUUGUGGCUUUUGGAUUGGGACACUCUGGCCAUGAACUCUUUAAUUG
RNAcentral lists this long non-coding RNA (12337 nucleotides) under Fragaria vesca (wild strawberry). RNAcentral describes it as "long non-coding RNA (FVES_LNC003169)". The record is from RNAcentral. Lineage: Eukaryota; Viridiplantae; Streptophyta; Magnoliopsida; Rosales; Rosaceae.